This 662-nucleotide ribosomal RNA is filed under the name Salmonella enterica subsp. enterica serovar Anatum. RNAcentral describes it as "partial 23S ribosomal RNA". It matches the Rfam family "Bacterial large subunit ribosomal RNA", at positions 2190 to 2846 of the family's 2925-position model. Lineage: Bacteria; Pseudomonadati; Pseudomonadota; Gammaproteobacteria; Enterobacterales; Enterobacteriaceae. The record is from RNAcentral.
CCUUGAAAUACCACCCUUUAAUGUUUGAUGUUCUAACGUGGACCCGUGAUCCGGGUUGCGGACAGUGUCUGGUGGGUAGUUUGACUGGGGCGGUCUCCUCCUAAAGAGUAACGGAGGAGCACGAAGGUUGGCUAAUCCUGGUCGGACAUCAGGAGGUUAGUGCAAUGGCAUAAGCCAGCUUGACUGCGAGCGUGACGGCGCGAGCAGGUGCGAAAGCAGGUCAUAGUGAUCCGGUGGUUCUGAAUGGAAGGGCCAUCGCUCAACGGAUAAAAGGUACUCCGGGGAUAACAGGCUGAUACCGCCCAAGAGUUCAUAUCGACGGCGGUGUUUGGCACCUCGAUGUCGGCUCAUCACAUCCUGGGGCUGAAGUAGGUCCCAAGGGUAUGGCUGUUCGCCAUUUAAAGUGGUACGCGAGCUGGGUUUAGAACGUCGUGAGACAGUUCGGUCCCUAUCUGCCGUGGGCGCUGGAGAACUGAGGGGGGCUGCUCCUAGUACGAGAGGACCGGAGUGGACGCAUCACUGGUGUUCGGGUUGUCAUGCCAAUGGCACUGCCCGGUAGCUAAAUGCGGAAGAGAUAAGUGCUGAAAGCAUCUAAGCACGAAACUUGCCCCGAGAUGAGUUCUCCCUGAGACUUAGAGUCUCCUGAAGGAACGUUGAAGACG